This 405-nucleotide ribosomal RNA is filed under the name uncultured bacterium. RNAcentral's name for it is "bacterial SSU rRNA". It matches the Rfam family "Bacterial small subunit ribosomal RNA", at positions 355 to 776 of the family's 1533-position model. The record is from RNAcentral.
UCGGGAAUAUUGCGCAAUGGAGGAAACUCUGACGCAGUGACGCCGCGUAUAGGAAGAAGUUUUUCGGAAUGUAAACUAUUGUCGUUAGGGAAGAGAAAGGACAGUACCUAAGGAGGAAGCUCCGGCUAACUACGUGCCAGCAGCCGCGGUAAUACGUAGGGAGCGAGCGUUAUCCGGAAUUAUUGGGUGUAAAGGGUGCGUAGACGGGAAAACAAGUUAGUUGUGAAAUCCCUCGGCUUAACUGAGGAACUGCAACUAAAACUAUUUUUCUUGAGUGCAGGAGAGGUAAGUGGAAUUCCUAGUGUAGCGGUGAAAUGCGUAGAUAUUAGGAGGAACACCAGUGGCGAAGGCGACUUACUGGACUGUAACUGACGUUGAGGCACGAAAGUGUGGGGAGCAAACAGG